This 486-nucleotide ribosomal RNA is filed under the name uncultured Corynebacterium sp. RNAcentral describes it as "bacterial SSU rRNA". It matches the Rfam family "Bacterial small subunit ribosomal RNA", at positions 8 to 507 of the family's 1533-position model. The record is from RNAcentral. Lineage: Bacteria; Bacillati; Actinomycetota; Actinomycetes; Mycobacteriales; Corynebacteriaceae.
AGAGUUUGAUCCUGGCUCAGGAUGAACGCUGGCGGCGUGCUUAACACAUGCAAGUCGACGGAAGGCCCCAGCUUGCUGGGGUACUCGAGUGGCGAACGGGUGAGUAACACGUGGGUGAUCUGCCCUGCACUUUGGGAUAAGCUUGGGAAACUGGGUCUAAUACCGAAUAUGACCACUUCUUGGAUGUUGUGGUGGAAAGCUUUUGCGGUGUGGGAUGAGCCUGCGGCCUAUCAGCUUGUUGGUGGGGGUAAUGGCCUACCAAGGCGGCGACGGGUAUCCGGCCUGAGAGGGUGUACGGACACAUUGGGACUGAGAUACGGCCCAGACUCCUACGGGAGGCAGCAGUGGGAAUAUUGCACAAUGGGCGCAAGCCUGAUGCAGCGACGCCGCGUGGGGGAUGAAGGCCUUCGGGUUGUAAACUCCUUUCGCUAUCGACGAAGCCUUCGGGUGACGGUAGGUAGAUAAGAAGCACCGGCUAACUACGUG